UAGACGAUAAAAGCGCUGGCGCUUGCGGCUGGUGGCCGCAAGCAGACGAGGAAGAGGUUUAUCGAGCAGUCAGCGGAUGCCUCUCGGCUCACUGCGGUCGUAAGCCGGCCGACAAAACUGCGAGGCGACUUGCAGGACAAAACGGCGGCGGCAGCAAUU
Molecule: non-coding RNA, 159 nt
Filed under: Thermosinus carboxydivorans
Lineage: Bacteria; Bacillati; Bacillota; Negativicutes; Selenomonadales; Sporomusaceae
Description: GlcN6P sequence
Rfam family: glmS glucosamine-6-phosphate activated ribozyme aptamer
About the family: This entry contains a glucosamine-6-phosphate activated ribozyme that is found in the mRNA for GlmS. GlmS is an enzyme that uses fructose-6-phosphate and glutamine to generate glucosamine-6-phosphate.
Source: RNAcentral